AUGGAAUGCCAGCAAUUUUUUUCAAGAGAUUUUGGGAUUGUGGGAAGCCAAGUAACAAGAGAGGUGUUGCAUGUUCUGAAUGGAGGAUAUAUGCCAGAAGAUUGGAACAACACGACAAUUGUGCUGAUCCCCAAGACAAUAAGACCAGAAAGCGUGAAGGAUUUAAGACCCAUAAGUCUCUGCAACGUCUUAUAUAAAGUGGUAUCAAAGGUAAUUGCAAACAGACUCAAAUUUGUCUUACCUGACAUCAUCUCUCCAAAUCAAAGCGCAUUCGAACCAGGCCGCAUGAUUUCCGAUAACAUUUUGCUUGCUUAUGAAUUAACCCACUUUAUUAAAAGAAGAAUAUUUGGACCAAAAGGUGUUGCUGCAUUAAAACUGGACAUGAGCAAAGCAUAUGAUAGAGUAGAAUGGAAGUUUCUUGAAGACAUGAUGAUAAAACUAGGAUUUAGAAGGGUCUGGGUCCAGCUGAUAAUGAAGUGCAUAACUAGUGUAAAAUACCAAAUUAAGGUAAACCAGGGCAAAACUGAUGUGAUCGUACCUCAGAGGGGACUACACCAAGGAGAUCCUUUAUCCCCAUACCUGUUUUUGUUUUGCGCUGAAGGUUUCUCUGCAAUGUUAAAUGAAGCUGAAGCAAAUGGAAGGCUCAGAGGCAUAGAAUAUGCAGAAAUGCCCCCAGUGUUAGCCACCUCCUCGUUGCGGAUGACUCAUUAUUGUUAA
RNAcentral lists this ribosomal RNA (717 nucleotides) under Triticum aestivum (bread wheat). Its description in RNAcentral is "partial small subunit ribosomal RNA". Lineage: Eukaryota; Viridiplantae; Streptophyta; Magnoliopsida; Poales; Poaceae. The record is from RNAcentral.